Molecule: long non-coding RNA, 349 nt
Organism: Phodopus roborovskii (desert hamster)
Lineage: Eukaryota; Metazoa; Chordata; Mammalia; Rodentia; Cricetidae
Exons: 3
Source: RefSeq, a predicted model, not a curated record
CUUCUACUUGUGACUCCUUUUCACCCUCCAGACUUUUACCUCCAAGUUCACCCCAAAUGAAUAAGUAUAUAAAACAGUUCCUGCCUUUAUAACUAGCUCUGCAUUCAACAAGAAGAGAACAAUACAAGCCACGUCUCCACAGUGGUCUACACGCACAGAGGAUGCCGGAUACUGUAUGGAGUUCAAGACAGAGUCCCUGACUCCUCACUGUGCUCUGGACAAUCGUCCCCUGACACGAUGGAUGCAGUACCUUAGAGAGGGUUACACGGUGUGUGUGGACUGCCAGCCCCCAGCUAUGAAUUCUGUGAGCCUGCGUUGCUCUGGAGACGGCCUGGAUUCUGAUGGGUAA